CGGUCUAAAUGAAAUUAUUAUGUUCUAUUUUGUGCUCGAAAUCGUGAAAGCACUCGGUUGUUUUUCUGAUCGAUUUGUUUCACUAUACUCGUGGACUGCGACAGGGUUUUUCUAAGCGGUGGGCGAACAUGAACUAAUCGUUAAUCGUUGUAAUAGUCUUAUAAGGUUAUUAAAGUGGCUAGGUAGUGACUACUCUAAAAUAUUUUCAAAAGGUAUUGAUUCUUUUC
Molecule: non-coding RNA, 227 nt
Organism: Cinara cedri
Lineage: Eukaryota; Metazoa; Arthropoda; Insecta; Hemiptera; Aphididae
Source: the annotation of a GenBank genome assembly